UUUUCCUCUAUUUGCCAGCAACCGAUACCGCAUGAGAGCGGCACAGCCUACUGGAUUUGGCGCGAGAUUCGUAACAUCUUUGAACGACUUUGACUUCUCUAAAGGUUCUAGGCAACGCCAGCCGUCGGCAACCAAGACCACCACUACGACGAUGAUGAUGGUGGUGAUGACGAUGAUGCUUGGAAGAAGAGUGCAUUUUAAAUAAUGUAUUCUUCAUUAUCAUAUGUUUCGAAGCUUUUCCGUCUCGGUUUUGGUGGCGCUUCUAGUUGACUGUGGAUGCUUUCGGACCCGUGGUUUGUCAGCUCAGAUUGGGGUAGCACAAUGCAGGGAGACAGCUAUUGUGACGAUGAAUAUUUCAUCGUUCAGCCAAACGCCCGCGAACAUACACAAAUACUUAUACAGCGAUGUGCUUACGGUUACCAUAUCCACAUAAAUCACAUAUGAACAUCUACUUUCUGUGAAUACUUCUUUCGCUCCAGCUGUAGUCAAACCGUACCGCGCAGCUGGCAAAAUUUCAUGGAAAUGAAUCACGAAUGGCGCAAUACACGUAUGUUUUUUGUUGUACUUGUAUCGUUUAUCUUUAGCUUUGAUGGGUACUCUAGCGGCAAGUCACUUCUGCGUACCAUUGAUUCAUGUUUAUGAAGCAGGUCAUGAAUGCUAACACCCAUCUACUUACAUCACGCUGUAUUUUGAGGUAGGGUUUUGCUCAUAUUCUACUCUAAACAUUCUUCGCCAAAUCGAUGGAGAGCCGUAAGAUGUGCGAUUGUACCUAUAGAGGUAAGAGGUAGGGACUUGCAAAAUGUAGCAUAAUUAAAACUAUCCAAAUAAUACACAAAAUUCAAUUUUGAGAUUUUAAUUGAUAUGCCAUCGGACUAAAACGAGCUUCACAAAAAAAGAAGGAAAUAAGAAAAAAGUAAAAAAAAACAUUGACAGAAUCCGCUGGACCUACAUUCUUUUGCCACGUUGAUUACUAGUUAACAAUAAAUUAUACACAUAGAGGGAGAGAAUCUUAGAGCUACUAAGAGUUCCGAAAAUUAUAAAAUCUAAAUAAAUCAAAUAUAGUAUAAUAUGCUACUCAAGUAUACAAAUACAGAACUUUCACACCAUAAUUUAAAAUAAAACUAGACAAAAGCAAAUCCCUUUUUCACUUCCCUUUUCAUUCUGGUUACAUUGAUGAUGAACUCACAUUUUUUGCACACACUUAUUCGGUUACUGAGAACCUACUCUAGUGUAAAAUUGAACUCUUUCGUAGCCGUAGCCCACUGAAUACUGUUGGGUGCCAGUUUAAGACCGACCAGGGUAGCCUUAUUGCGAUAUCCCAAGACUCUCUCUUUCUAUCGAGCUCAAAGAAAGGAUUGAAAAGUGCCAGUUUUCUAUCUUCACUCAGAAAAUUGAUGGCAUCUUACGGUCAGAAGCUAACGAAAUCGAUCCCCAUUGCCGCUGUACGGUAUUGAGCUGCAAGGCUAGCCUAGCGCUGACUAGUACGCCCUUCCUUUGAUAAAAUGUGAUUUUCUCCGUGCAAAUAUUUGCUUCUUCGGAAGAAAUUGACAUUUUCUAUUCACUCAUCUCACUACCAGCGAUGCAUGUGAACUCCUUCCUCCUCGAACGCUGAAUGGUGAUGGGAACGGAUCUAGGACGCAGACAGCUACAUCCGGGUUCGUAUGCGUUGCGGUAGCCGCACGAUCAUAAAAAUGAUGCUUUCUCGAUGAAACUGCUGCUUCGCCUUCCCAGUAUACAAUAUCUAUGUAAACUUGUCGGUUCGUUUGCUGACCCACUUCCUGCUUUGUGGUUGUGGCCAGAUUUUCCAUCUUCAUAAACUGCAUUUUCAAAGUGCGGAAGGGUCUAUGAAACCAUCCCAAAAAAUAAAACCUCGCAUGAGAUCAAGCUAAUCGAUGAGUUCAAACCUAGGGAGAUAUUUUGUAUACCAUUCUUCCACACAUAACUAAAACCUCUUUUCAUUUGCAAAAAAGUUAACCCUUUCUGAAUAUCUUCCUUUUUUGCAACCUUCUUCGUAAACAGUGUUAAAAAAACUCAGUGUCGGAUGUUUUGGAACUUACUAGCAAGCGAUGUACCGCUGGCAACAAAAGCUCACAGCAUGCCCAACAGCACGCUUGUUUGAAGAGCACUCAGACCGUUGGCAGUAAGUGGUUUACCCUAUGGUUUGUCUUACAAUCCGCAAUGAGCGGAAGGUAUACAAAAGUUUUUCCAGGCGCUUGUGUUUCGGCUAUUUCGUGAAUGUUCCAACCGGGCUUCAUCAAGACGUCCGGUCGUAAUAAACUUUCUGGGCAGUACAUGGAACAAAGGUGUUGAAUGCACAGCAGCGUCUGAAACGUUCUGUUGACUUUGUGCUCUACAAUGUGCCCGGUCGUGAAUUAAAUACUGUGCGUGUAGGUACAUCUCAACGAAAGCUACUGUAAAAACAUAUUUGCUUGCGUGUAGAAAAUGUGGAAAAGUUAAAGUUUGUGUGCUUGGGUUCAUAACAGAUCGUCGUCCUCUAAAGCAUAUUUUUUUUUGUCAGAGUGUGUCGGUUCGUUAGAGUUAGAGUGUAGCGUAAAUGUAAAAAUGAAAUUCUGGUGUUAGAUUUAGAUUAAUCUAUAUCAGGUUAACAAAUCAAUGUCAGUACAUCAAACUGAUAGGCAAUUGCAUUCCCAAUAGAUUUUCUCUUCUUCUAUUUGGCGUAACGUCCUAUGCGGACAUGCCGGCCUAUGCAGACUUUCGAGACUUAAUUCAUUACCACACAGCCGGAUAGUCAAUCCUUGUUACGGGGGGACGGUCCAUUCUAGGCUUGAACCCAUGACGUUCAAGUUAUUGAGUCCAUCCAUUCUAGGCUUGAACCCAUGACGUUCAAGUUAUUGAGUCGUUGAGUCGUUCAAGUUGACGACUGUACCACGGGACCGCCCCUCCCAAUAGAUAACGUUUGCAUUAAAACAAAUGGACAAAUAUUAUCGAAAUUCCGAAUAGGCGAUGGGUUUAUCUUCACCCGCACUUUACAUUUGUACUUUCAAUAAUUGCACUUUCAAUUAUAGUAUCUCUUGAGCCAGCACAUAUAAUUUGACACCUCUAUCAGUCGAAAUUUAACCGUGAGGACAAACAAACUGAGGCGGUUUUCUUUAGAAGCGUUCGCGAUUAAAGAACGGUACACCGUACAGUCUAAAACGGACACCGUGCGGCAAUUUGUGGACUUUGUAUAAACCUGCGGCAUCUACAACAUGUUGGCACUAUUAGACAACAAUAAUAGCAUCUAAAGAAAGCCCCGUUCCGAAUGGCUUACGACCUAGACCAACAAGAAGCUUCAAAAGAUGCUGAAAAUGAAGCCCAAGGGAAAAGUGGCUACUUCGUUGUGAUCACUUGGCCGGGAGGUCGAUGCAACCGAUCGAUCAGUAAAUUAGUCCUGGAAAACGCGAACAAACAUAUCAGGAAUCAGAAAUCGAGUCCACAGGCUUCGCAGCAGCAUGAAAUGAGACUAAAACUCAAUUAAACUAUUUCAUGCAUAUUUUGGUUGGAUUUCGAUAUGACACCCUAGUACGCGAACCGGUUGAACAUCCCCCAGCUGCAUUCCAUCGAAAUUUUCUGGACCAACAUGAUGAAAAAGUCUACUCUAACAAUUUUGUCGCGAAAACGGAGGAGGAAUUGAUAAAAAUAGAAGGUAGAUCUUAAACACCUCUACACGCAUGUAUUCGUUACACUAUGGCGAAAACUCUUGAUAACUGACAAAAAGCAGAUUGCAAGGUCGUAAAAAUAUUUUUAUAAGUAAGUUGUAAUAAUUACCUUUCAAAUGACGUUCAUGUAAAUAAAUUUACCGCUCUUUUUUCUACAACCAGCCGAAAAAAGACAAUAUUUUGAAUGCAAACGCUAUGUAUACUAUUCAAUCAGAAGAUGAUUUAAAGUAGAUUUAAAGGAAUAUUAAAUUGUAAGUCGAGUAGAUAAUUGCCGUAGCCUCCACAGGACUCCCGGUGCCAUGCUGUAAAGGCCAGUAAAUCCGAUAGAGGAAUUGGUUCGUCGGCUUUCCCUCCGAUCCACUACUAGGAAAGUCUACGUUAGGCGCGCGAUUCUCAAUACCUAUGCAGUCUCAUUCAUAUUAUUAUUAGACAAUUAAAAAGAAAACAAAAAACAUCAUUAUCAUCAUCAGAUGCCGGAGAAACUAUUACGCUAAACACAAACAAACUAACAGAGUCAACCAUACAAAAAUCUACAUAUAUUGGAAUUGAAAGAAAUGAACUAUUUACAAAUGACAACAAAUGGAAUUUAAACAAAUGAGUCGAACAUGACCUUCGAAAACCAGCGAUUGUACUCUGAUUGUCAACUCCAGUGAGAAGCGCAUUAAAUGUUCUUAUGCCUUUGAAGAAUAGGGAAAUUCUGGCUUGAGCAGACGAAUAGUUGGUUCAUUCGUAACUUUUUAUGUAACAAUUAUCAUUAAUCUCCCAUUUUAGCCAUAUCGUGAAAAUAUAAAAGGCCACUGAAAGUCAAGUCCGUUAUAAAUAAAGACAAAGGAUCGACAAUAGUUAUUACGCCUAAUAAGAAGAAAAAAUACUCUAUAUUUAAGCUAAAUACUACUCUUUACAUUGAAAUUAUUAAUGUUUACAUUGCUGGUUUAUCUUUUAGUCAAUUAUACUAGUAGUGGUGAAUCUCUGCCAAAUAUUGAAUGUAAGUUCAAAGCUUUUUUGUGAAAAAUGAAUGAAUCACAGUUAUGAAUUUAAAAAAAUAUAUAUAUAUCAAAAAUGCAGCCAGCUAAAUACAUAAUCUGACACGUUUGUGUCUAAAGUUUACAUUGCUUAAUGCCCUUUCGCAUGCAUUUGGCGUUAAUCCGUAAUUACCUGUAACGGUGUUAACAUGUCGUCUUACGCUCGAAAAAGCACUCCCCCAGAUGCACCAUUACUAGCUAGGUGCAUCCAACGUCAUGGAUACGACGCCGAACAGUGUCCCAACAGUGCCAUUUCUUACCAUCAUGCGGGUCGGGUCUCAAAGGACGCACGAAAGUUGCCCGAUUUUCCAACAGUUUCUGAGCUGCCAGCCACGCUGGGACACUCUUUCAAGUUGAACCAUUUAGCAACAACGUGAAAAGCUUGCCAGACGAUGAGUAUGAGCGAGAGAGAUAGAAAGAGAGGGUGAGUGAGUGAGAGAUCACAAAAAAUGGCCGUGUCCGUGUAUGGAGAUUUAUUGUGUCGAUAGCAGAUCCACAGCGACGGUCCGGAAGCACCAACCUGGGACCUUUCGGGGAUGCAGCUGUAGCGCUCUCGUCCGGCAUAGCUUAAUUACCAGUCACCGUUCUUUGGCCGUUCUUUGGUGAGCUUAAUACGGUUGCCAUAAAUCUUCCGGCAUGUCGAAUGCGCUUUGAAUAAAUGUCUCCUUUGAACCGUGAACGAAUGUCAAACUACAAACAGCUUUUGCGAGGGCCUGGGAAAAGCGGGAUCUAUCUUACCCCGCAUUGAGCCGUCAUCGUAUUCUGUGUUUCGUUUAUCACUUGGUCAGCCACCGGGAGGUGUGACGCUGUUUCGUGUUUGUGGCGCAGGUUAUCUCUCCUUUGCGUGUCGUUUUCUCAGAUGCGAAGCAAAGGCCGACGGUACGGCCGACCGUACGAUUUACGAUCAGCUCGAGUGCACCGGCCCGAGCGAUUGUCGCGUUUCCACAAGCCGGGAAGUGCCCGGUGGAAAAACCACUUCACAAAUCCGUUGUGACAUCACUAUCUCUUCGUUCAAUCUCAAAACCGCAAUAAAAUGGAGGCGAAUCGAAAACAGCCGGCCGCUGCAAAGCCCCCCUUCCCCUCCCCCCAUUCCCAUGUACGAUUGAUGGCAUUUGCUUUCCAUACAAAGCAUGAAUUACGGGAUUUGCCAGGCGGUGGACGAUUGAUAUUAAACACCAAAUAAAACACUUUAAUAUCAAUUUUCUUGAUCCCCUUAGGGCUGGAACCGAUAAGAUUGGCUACUCGUGGUCGUGAGGACGUGCAACAAGCUGUUAAUGCUGGGACACGGACUGCUGCGAUAGGGGUUUUGUUGCUAAAAGAUUAACGAAAGAGCUUAAGCUGCAACCUAAUCUGGAUAAACAAAAGCACCCUACCUGACCAUGCAGCCAAGCAGUAACCUUCACCAAUGCUCCAUCGUUCCAAUUUAGUUGUUUCACUCAUUCGCAAACCCAGACCCAGACGCAAUACCAUUUUACCAUGGUUUCGCCCCGCUCGUCGAUGCCGAAGCUUUUUUCGAGCACAAUCAACAUCAUCAUAUGCGCUUUCGUAAAUAAUGCAUAGUGACGGCUCUUUGUUUGGGUUAGUGGUUCAGCAGAUCGGUAGAAGAGUGACGCUGGACUUCGGUUUUGCUUUUGCAGGAUGGGAAGGCUUGUUUGGGUUUAUCUUGUGCUGCUGCAGAUAGAUACAGCUGACUAGCUGCUUCGAAGCCAAACUUAUUUGCGAAAGCAAUAACACGGUGCAAAGAUGAUGAGAUGCAUGAGAUUCAUAAGUUAGUGGAAAAUGCAUCGACGGUUCAUAUUUAUAAUGCCAACCAAUUAUGCUGCAUUGGGUGAAGUUGUAAACAAACUAUCAGGAAAACCCAUGUUAUUGGGUAAUAUUGUAAAAUGACAAAAUACUGACUGGAAUUAAUGAUUUGAAAAAUGAUAACCAACAAUAUAAAUGUUUACUCGUUUUACCAUGUUCGAAAUAUAAGAUCAUAAAUGCUACCAAGAAGUUAGAAGAAGUAAAAAAAUAAAAACAUGCAAAUGCAAAUGCAAAUGCAAAUGCAAAUGCAAAUGCAAUGCAAUGUUUUAAUGCAAAUCUAUUUUUGAUUUUAGUGCCGUAAGAACGUGUUUUCAUUUUUUUUUGUAUUUUUUUUUUCGUUUCAUAUUUCGUUAAUUAGAUUCAUCCUAUUAAACACAUCACCAGACAUUGUACCAUAAGAAUAGAGAGAGUAUCAAUAGUUGUGAGAGAGUUGCUAAGAAUAAUGCCCGCUAAUCACGGCGAUGUGACGAGCAUUACAUUUCCAUAACCAAAAGUAUGCGACUUCAAUAAAAAAACGUGUAAUGUUAUUAAAAGGGAAAGGACUUCUUCUACAAUGAGUAAGAACGAAUAUGCUCCAUUGGCAACAUCAGGCGUUGUAGUUCAUAAAUUGUAAAAUAAACCUUUAAUUGUGUAGCAUUUAA
Molecule: long non-coding RNA, 7125 nt
Organism: Anopheles coluzzii
Lineage: Eukaryota; Metazoa; Arthropoda; Insecta; Diptera; Culicidae
Exons: 3
Source: RefSeq, a predicted model, not a curated record